UACGGAGGGUGCAAGCGUUAUCCGGAUUCACUGGGUUUAAAGGGUGCGUAGGUGGGUUGGUAAGUCAGUGGUGAAAUCCCCGAGCUUAACUUGGGAACUGCCAUUGAUACUAUCAGUCUUGAAUACCGUGGAGGUCAGCGGAAUAUGUCAUGUAGCGGUGAAAUGCUUAGAUAUGACAUAGAACACCAAUUGCGAAGGCAGCUGGCUACACGAGUAUUGACACUGAGGCACGAAAGCGUGGGGAGCGAACAGG
RNAcentral lists this ribosomal RNA (253 nucleotides) under uncultured bacterium. RNAcentral describes it as "partial 16S ribosomal RNA". It matches the Rfam family "Bacterial small subunit ribosomal RNA", at positions 524 to 776 of the family's 1533-position model. The record is from RNAcentral.